UAUUUGUUUUUUAAAGUAUUCAAAAGUAUUUAUGUUUAUUGCAUUUUGCUUGUGUAGUGUCCUCGGCAAAAGAAUGUCAUGGAUUCUGGAUAUUAUGUCAUGAGAUACAUGAAAGAGAUCAUCGUCCAUAAGCAAACUUGGAUAUUUGAAGAUUACUUUCAUGAUUGCAAUGUUUUGAAUUAUGAUCAAGGACAAAUUGAUGAAGUCACGGCUCAAUGGACGCGUCAUGUUCUUCUCGUGUGAAUAUUAUGGUGGAUUAAUUAUUUUUUUCGACUGGAAUUUCUCUAGAACGUUUUGAAAUUAAAAGAAGUACUAUAUGACAAGGAUACUUCUUUCUGUUUUCUAGUGGGUUUUUAUUCUACUGUGUAUUUAGGCACAUAUGAUUUUAAGUGAUGCAUGAGACAUCGAGACGUUUAUUUGA
Long non-coding RNA from Spinacia oleracea (spinach), 421 nucleotides. RefSeq lists it as uncharacterized. NCBI's taxonomy places the organism in Eukaryota, Viridiplantae, Streptophyta, Magnoliopsida, Caryophyllales, Amaranthaceae. The transcript is spliced from 2 exons. The record is from RefSeq and is a predicted model, not a curated record.